AGUGAACGCUGGCGGUAGGCCUAACACAUGCAAGUCGAACGGCAGCACAGUAAGAGCUUGCUCUUACGGGUGGCGAGUGGCGGACGGGUGAGGAAUACAUCGGAAUCUACUUUUUCGUGGGGGAUAACGUAGGGAAACUUACGCUAAUACCGCAUACGACGUACGGGUGAAAGCAGGGGAUCUUUGGGCCUUUCGCGAUUGAAUGAGCCGAUGUCGGAUUAGUUAGUUGGCGGGGUAAAGGCCCACCAAGGCGACGAUCCGUAGCUGGUCUGAGAGGAUGAUCAGCCACACUGGAACUGAGACACGGUCCAGACUCCUACGGGAGGCAGCAGUGGGGAAUAUUGGACAAUGGGCGCAAGCCUGAUCCAGCCAUACCGCGUGGGUGAAGAAGGCCUUCGGGUUGUAAAGCCCUUUUGUUGGGAAAGAAAAGCAGCAGGUUAAUACCCCGCUGUUCUGACGGUACCCAAAGAAUAAGCACCGGCUAACUUCGUG
This 492-nucleotide ribosomal RNA is filed under the name uncultured bacterium. RNAcentral describes it as "partial 16S ribosomal RNA". It matches the Rfam family "Bacterial small subunit ribosomal RNA", at positions 29 to 507 of the family's 1533-position model. The record is from RNAcentral.